RNAcentral lists this ribosomal RNA (663 nucleotides) under Triticum aestivum (bread wheat). RNAcentral describes it as "partial small subunit ribosomal RNA". The record is from RNAcentral. Lineage: Eukaryota; Viridiplantae; Streptophyta; Magnoliopsida; Poales; Poaceae.
AUGGCGUUUGACGUGACGUCGAGUUGGAGCUUCAUCCAGGCGUCCUCGAGCAGCGCCUGGCGGCUGGUUCUCUCCCGAGGUGAGCUUCCAUGGUGGAAGUCGACAGCGGGUGGUAGAUCUGGUGAUAGCUCCCCUAAUAAGCUCGAAUCUUUCCCUGAUCUGGAGGAUCUCCGUCGCCUUGUUCCAUUUGUUCGUCGCUGUCGUGGAGAUGGGGACAGAAAGUGGAAGAGGUGGAGCGCAAGUUUGUUUCGAUUGGGUUUGUGCAUAUUCUCAUCGGUGCUUGGAGUGGAGCUACGGCGCCCACUGGAGCUGCCGGUCUCCGACGCCUCCCCGGUGACCUUUCUGGCCGAAGGGCGGCCUGGUGAAGCCGCUUCGUUUCUUCCUCCUGGCUUGAUGCCAUUUGAGAGGCAGCUGUUCAACUUCAACAUGGAGUCCUCUUCUUCCAUCUUUGUCCGGAGAUGGAGUAGUGGCGGUCCUGUGAUCCCAAGUGGUCACGUCCCCGGUGAUGGCCGGACUGGAUCUACGCUGGAGUUGAGUAUUGGACCCGAUUGUAAUCUUAAUCAUCAGGAUGGGGUCCUCCUUUUUAGUUUCAGGGACUAUGAUGUAAUUUCCUUUUCUUUUGAGUCCAGGUAUGAGCUCUGUACUGCAUCCGCUGAUAGUUAA